RNAcentral lists this ribosomal RNA (293 nucleotides) under uncultured bacterium. RNAcentral describes it as "partial 16S ribosomal RNA". The record is from RNAcentral.
GGACUACCCGGGUUUCUAAUCCUGUUCGCUCCCCACGCUUUCGUGUCUCAGCGUCAGAAAUGGCCCAGCAAGCUGCCUUCGCCAUUGGUGUUCCUAGUAAUAUCUACGCAUUUCACUGCUACACUACUAAUUCCACUUGCCUCUGCCAUCCUCUAGAUGCCCAGUAUGCAAUACAGUCCAUAUGGUUGAGCCACAGGAUUUCGCAUUGCACUUAAGCUUCCACCUACACACGCUUUACGCCCAGUAAUUCCGGAUAACGCUUGGACCCUACGUAUUACCGCGGCUGCUGGCAC